This 253-nucleotide ribosomal RNA is filed under the name uncultured bacterium. Its description in RNAcentral is "partial 16S ribosomal RNA". It matches the Rfam family "Bacterial small subunit ribosomal RNA", at positions 524 to 776 of the family's 1533-position model. The record is from RNAcentral.
UACGUAGGGUGCGAGCGUUAAUCGGAAUUACUGGGCGUAAAGCGUGCGCAGGCGGUUUUUUAAGACAGAUGUGAAAUCCCCGGGCUUAACCUGGGAACUGCAUUUGUGACUGGAAGACUAGAGUACGGCAGAGGGGGUUAGAAUUCCACGUGUAGCAGUGAAAUGCGUAGAUAUGUGGAGGAAUACCGAUGGCGAAGGCAGCCUCCUGGGUCGAUACUGACUCUCAUGCACGAAAGCGUGGGGAGCAAACAGG